UACGGGGGGUGCUAGCGUUAUUCGGAAUCAUUGGGCGUAAAGGGCGCGUAGGCGGUCUUUUAAGUCAGAUGUGAAAGCCCUCGGCUUAACCGAGGAAGUGCAUUUGAUACUAAGAGACUUGAGUAUGGGAGAGGGAAGCGGAAUUCCUGGUGUAGCGGUGAAAUGCGUAGAUAUCAGGAGGAACACCGGUGGCGAAGGCGGCUUCCUGGACCAAUACUGACGCUGAGGCGCGAAAGCUAGGGGAGCAAACGGG
This 253-nucleotide ribosomal RNA is filed under the name uncultured bacterium. Its description in RNAcentral is "partial 16S ribosomal RNA". It matches the Rfam family "Bacterial small subunit ribosomal RNA", at positions 524 to 776 of the family's 1533-position model. The record is from RNAcentral.